Molecule: ribosomal RNA, 476 nt
Filed under: uncultured soil bacterium
Lineage: Bacteria
Description: bacterial SSU rRNA
Rfam family: Bacterial small subunit ribosomal RNA
Source: RNAcentral
CGAAUCAACGCUGGCGGCGUGCCUAACACAUGCAAGUCGAACGAGAAAGUGGAGCAAUCCAUGAGUAAAGUGGCGACCGGGUGAGUAACACGUGACUAACCUACCCUGGAGUGGGGAAUAACCUUCCGAAAGGAGGGCUAAUACCGCAUAAAGUCCUGAGGCUGAGAUGCCAUAGGACCAAAGGAGCAAUUCGCUUUGGGAGGGGGUCGCGGCAGAUUAGCUAGUUGGUGAGGUAAUGGCUCACCAAGGCAUUGAUCUGUAGCCGGCCUGAGAGGGCGCGACGGACCGACACUGGAACUGAAACACGGUCCAGACUCCUACGGGAGGCAGCAGUGGGGAAUUUUGCGCAAUGGGGGAAACCCUGACGCAGCAACGCCGCGUGGAGGAUGAAGGUCUUUGGAUUGUAAACUCCUUUCGAUCGGACGAUUAUGACGGUACCGAAGAAGAAGCCCGGCUAACUUCGUGCCAGCAGCCGC